CUCUUGGCUCUUGCAACGAUGAAGAACGCAGCAAAAUGCGAUACGUAGUGCGAUCUGCAUGAACCUGUGAGUCAUCGAGUCUUUGAACGCAACUUGCGCCACUCUGUGGCAUGUCUGUUUGAGCACCACAUACAUCUGUCGCAAGACGAAUUGCCUGGUUGUUCGCCGGGUUAAAUCGAGUGUAUCGUUACAUUGGGGUGGCUUAGUAGUGAGCACCGAGCUAGAGACCUGGGUAGAGGUGGUUGGUUGUUACAGAUCACCGCUACUCUACACACACCAGUCUUGUCGGUACCCCACGAAACUACCCCCCACUCACUCUGGUCUCAAAUCAGGCAAGACUACCCGCUGAACUUAA
This 355-nucleotide small RNA is filed under the name uncultured fungus. RNAcentral's name for it is "eukaryotic LSU rRNA". The stretch from base 2 to 128 matches the Rfam family "5.8S ribosomal RNA", at positions 19 to 154 of the family's 154-position model. The record is from RNAcentral. Lineage: Eukaryota; Fungi.